CAGCUGUGGUUGGAUGGUAAAGCCUUUAGUGGCACAUUCGGCUGAAGCUGGUGAGGGAAACAUAGUGUUGUGGCUAGAUAGUAUCUAGUUACCAUACUAGAAUAUUAACUCAC
This 113-nucleotide ribozyme is filed under the name unclassified sequences. Its description in RNAcentral is "Hairpin ribozyme 1 from viruses-like metatranscriptomes". It matches the Rfam family "Hairpin ribozyme 1 from viruses-like metatranscriptomes". The record is from Rfam by way of RNAcentral.